This 690-nucleotide ribosomal RNA is filed under the name Vreelandella aquamarina. Its description in RNAcentral is "bacterial SSU rRNA". It matches the Rfam family "Bacterial small subunit ribosomal RNA", at positions 56 to 744 of the family's 1533-position model. The record is from RNAcentral. Lineage: Bacteria; Pseudomonadati; Pseudomonadota; Gammaproteobacteria; Oceanospirillales; Halomonadaceae.
UGCAGUCGAGCGGUAACAGAUCCAGCUUGCUGGAUGCUGACGAGCGGCGGACGGGUGAGUAAUGCAUAGGAAUCUGCCCGGUAGUGGGGGAUAACCUGGGGAAACCCAGGCUAAUACCGCAUACGUCCUACGGGAGAAAGGGGGCUUCGGCUCCCGCUAUCGGAUGAGCCUAUGUCGGAUUAGCUAGUUGGUGAGGUAACGGCUCACCAAGGCCACGAUCCGUAGCUGGUCUGAGAGGAUGAUCAGCCACAUCGGGACUGAGACACGGCCCGAACUCCUACGGGAGGCAGCAGUGGGGAAUAUUGGACAAUGGGGGGAACCCUGAUCCAGCCAUGCCGCGUGUGUGAAGAAGGCCCUCGGGUUGUAAAGCACUUUCAGCGAGGAAGAACGCCUAGCGGUUAAUACCCGCUAGGAAAGACAUCACUCGCAGAAGAAGCACCGGCUAACUCCGUGCCAGCAGCCGCGGUAAUACGGAGGGUGCAAGCGUUAAUCGGAAUUACUGGGCGUAAAGCGCGCGUAGGUGGCUUGAUAAGCCGGUUGUGAAAGCCCCGGGCUCAACCUGGGAACGGCAUCCGGAACUGUCAAGCUAGAGUGCAGGAGAGGAAGGUAGAAUUCCCGGUGUAGCGGUGAAAUGCGUAGAGAUCGGGAGGAAUACCAGUGGCGAAGGCGGCCUUCUGGACUGACACUGAC